CCCGCACAAGCGGUGGAGCAUGUGGUUUAAUUCGAUGCAACGCGAAGAACCUUACCUGGUCUUGACAUAUCUAGAAUCCUGCAGAGAUGCGGGAGUGCCUUCGGGAAUUAGAAUACAGGUGCUGCAUGGCUGUCGUCAGCUCGUGUCGUGAGAUGUUGGGUUAAGUCCCGCAACGAGCGCAACCCUUGUCCUUAGUUACCAGCGGGUUAAGCCGGGAACUCUAAGGAUACUGCCAGUGACAAACUGGAGGAAGGCGGGGACGACGUCAAGUCAUCAUGGCCCUUACGACCAGGGCUACACACGUGCUACAAUGGUAGGUACAGAGGGCAGCUACACAGCGAUGUGAUGCGAAUCUCAAAAAGCCUAUUGUAGUCCAGAUUGGAGUCUGCAACUCGACUCCAUGAAGUAGGAAUCGCUAGUAAUCGCGGAUCAGAAUGCCGCGGUGAAUACGUUCCCGGGCCUUGUACACACCGCCCGUCACACCAUGGGAGUUGAUUGCACCAGAAGUGGAUAGCUUAACCUUCGGGGAGGCGUUCACCACGGUGUGGUUGAUGACUGGGGUGAAGUCGUAACAAGGUA
This 579-nucleotide ribosomal RNA is filed under the name uncultured bacterium. Its description in RNAcentral is "bacterial SSU rRNA". It matches the Rfam family "Bacterial small subunit ribosomal RNA", at positions 920 to 1498 of the family's 1533-position model. The record is from RNAcentral.